CAUCUUCUCAAACCCACCACCACUCAACAACAUGUGCCACUGUUGCUUCUCCUCUGAUAUUCUUCUUCUCAUCCUCUUUCCUCAGAUGUGUUUGUCGUUUCUUGUUUUGAUAAUUACAUAAGUUAAUUGCUUAAUUUUAUUGUAAUUAUCAAAUUUAAUAAUGCAAGAAUCUUGUUGGUUUGUAAUGUUGCACUUUUGUUAGCAUUGGAGCUAAAUGUUGUCAUGAUGGUUCUACAAUUUGAUUGAUUCAGUAUUUAUUUAUUUAUUUUUUCCAAUUGCGUCGAUUUUCUGUUUUUGCAGGUUUUGUGGGCAUAUGUUUAGGAAUGUCCUGCUCGUGCUGUGAGACUGUUUCAGUUUCACAUGGCACUCACCCUAUCAGCUGUGCAGGCAUGUGACCGCCAUGUAUGUAUCAAAUUUUACAAAUAUUCUUUUGGGCCUUAGAUAACUCCAGGGUUUUUGUCUAAUUCUCGUAUUAGUGCCAUUUGUACUUCCCUGUUCUAGUGUGAAUUGCUUUUCUUGCUUGAAAUUUAGCCUAAUAUUUUAGACUUUAUGAAAAAAGUCUCAUCAUAAUGGGGCUAUUUGAACUCCUUGACAAUUCUUUCAACUGGCCUUUAUGUUGGGUUUAUUUCUCCUUGGUUUUUUGGUGUUUAAAGGAGGAAAAAGGUGCUAUUCGUUUAGUCAUUCAUUAUCAAGUUGUCAAUGAAUAGAUGGAGUUCAAUAUCAUGCAUGUGUUGGACUUUAUUGUGUGCUUCUGCGAACAAUAGGAUUUUAGAAUUGUUUCAAAGCAGAAGAACAUAUUGGCCUACUCAACUAUUUUUCUGGAUCAUAUAUAGGGAGAGCCGGAGAGGAAUAGUAUGAUGUUGAGGUACAUUUAUUCCAGUCUCUAAGUUGAAACCCAUCCUUUUUAAGUGUACGUGGUUUUAGGAUAAGAAUUUUUUUGUCUCUUUAUGAAAUGGUAAAUGUGGUAUAACACUACAUUUAAUAAUUUUGUGUUGAUUUUUGUCUUCUUAGUAAUUAGUAUGCACCUCAUGUACAUGAUGUAGACAUCUUGUGCCUCUCUCUAGGCACUCUCUUUGUUAAUAUAAAACUUGUUUUUUCACUAAAAAGAAGCUCUUGCAAGUAAGAUUCUAAAACCUAGUUUUUUGAAUUGUAGUUGUGAGUCCUUAUCUUCUUCUACCUUAGCGCCCUUAUCUUGGUUGAAUUUAUGUAUCUCUCUUAUUAACUGUUUCUGUGUGUUAUUUUUGACUCCUAAAUUUUGGGUUUAAAACUUCAAAUGAGUAUGGAGACUGACAUGUUCAAAGAUUCUAUUUCAGUGUAGUAUUGGGAAACAAUUGAAAAGUGUAAUUUUCUUCAAAUUUGAAAGAGGACAACGAAUUGCUUUGAUUAGAAGAUUGAUUAGAAGAAUGAGGUACUUAUGGCAUUCUUAUAUUUCUUGCUUAAUAAAGGAUGGGAAACUGUAUUUAUUUCUAUUACUUUGAAAUGGCUAUAUUUGUCGUAGAUUAUCUAAUUUCCAUGUGAAUAUAUCAAGACUGUGUUUUGGAUCGAAGAAUGAGUUUGCAGAAAAGCUGCUGUAUGAAGUAAAUAAAUAUAAUGUGCCAAGUGUCUCUGAUCAUUUCAAGGUGCUUAAUAAGGUAAAUUAUGUGUGAAGAAUUAUAAUGGUUGCUUCACUUGUGCGCUUCAAGGUCCUCUUCCUGAAUGCUUCAAGAUUUUCUUCAUCAUUCUGGAUAUUCCUGGCAAUCUGCUUCCUUUAGGUGUCAGUGCUGACGGAUCAUGAUGGUUUUCGUGAUUUAAUUGAGAAUGAAAAGCUGAAGAGCAAUCUGGUUGGGAUCUCAAAGAUGCUGUCGAUGAUUUUGAUGUCUCCUUGGCACAUAAAAGAUUUCCUUCUAUUGUUUUUGGCUAUUCUCCUCCUGUAGAAUUAUAUG
Molecule: unclassified non-coding RNA, 1922 nt
Filed under: Hevea brasiliensis (rubber tree)
Lineage: Eukaryota; Viridiplantae; Streptophyta; Magnoliopsida; Malpighiales; Euphorbiaceae
Source: RNAcentral